This 301-nucleotide ribosomal RNA is filed under the name uncultured bacterium. Its description in RNAcentral is "partial 16S ribosomal RNA". It matches the Rfam family "Bacterial small subunit ribosomal RNA", at positions 509 to 807 of the family's 1533-position model. The record is from RNAcentral.
CAGCAGCCGCGGUAAAACGUAGGUGGCAAGCGUUAUCCGGAAUUAUUGGGCGUAAAGGGCUCGCAGGCGGUUUCUUAAGUCUGAUGUGAAAGCCCCCGGCUCAACCAGGGAGGGUCAUUGGAAACUGGGAAACUUGAGUGCAGAGGAGGAGAGUGGAAUUCCACGUGUAGCGGUGAAAUGCGUAGAGAUGUGGAGGAACACCAGUGGCGAAGGCGACACUCUGGUCUGUAACUGACGCUGAGGAGCGAAAGCGUGGGGAGCGAACAGGAUUAGAUACCCCCGUAGUCCCUGUCUCUUAUAC